This 403-nucleotide ribosomal RNA is filed under the name uncultured bacterium. RNAcentral describes it as "bacterial SSU rRNA". It matches the Rfam family "Bacterial small subunit ribosomal RNA", at positions 355 to 775 of the family's 1533-position model. The record is from RNAcentral.
UGGGGGAUAUUACACAAUGGCAGAAACUCUGAUGUAGCAACGCCGCGUGGAGGAUGACACAUUUCGGUGCGUAAACUCCUUUUAUAUGGGAAGAUAAUGACGGUACCAUAUGAAUAAGCACCGGCUAACUCCGUGCCAGCAGCCGCGGUAAUACGGAGGGUGCAAGCGUUACUCGGAAUCACUGGGCGUAAAGCGCGCGCAGGCGGUCUUUUAAGUUGGAUGUGAAAUCCUAUGGCUCAACCAUAGAACUGCAUCCAAAACUGAAAGACAAGAGUCUGGGAGGGGAAGAUGGAAUUAGUGGUGUAGGGGUAAAAUCCGUAGAGAUCACUAGGAAUACCAAAAGCGAAGGCGAUCUUCUGGAACAGUACUGACGCUGAGGCGCGAAAGCGUGGGGAGCAAACAG